RNAcentral lists this transfer RNA (72 nucleotides) under Bos taurus (domestic cattle). It matches the Rfam family "tRNA". Rfam says of the family: Transfer RNA (tRNA) molecules are approximately 80 nucleotides in length. Their secondary structure includes four short double-helical elements and three loops (D, anti-codon, and T loops). Further hydrogen bonds mediate the characteristic L-shaped molecular structure. tRNAs have two regions of fundamental functional importance: the anti-codon, which is responsible for specific mRNA codon recognition, and the 3' end, to which the tRNAs corresponding amino acid is attached (by aminoacyl-tRNA synthetases). tRNAs cope with the degeneracy of the genetic code in two manners: having more than one tRNA (with a specific anti-codon) for a particular amino acid; and 'wobble' base-pairing, i.e. permitting non-standard base-pairing at the 3rd anti-codon position. Lineage: Eukaryota; Metazoa; Chordata; Mammalia; Artiodactyla; Bovidae. The record is from Rfam by way of RNAcentral. RNAcentral also lists the same sequence under 2 other names.
ACCUGGGUGGCUCAGAUGGUAAAGAGUCUGCCUGCAAUGCAGGAGACCCAGGUUCCAUCCCUGGGUCAGGAA